This 255-nucleotide ribosomal RNA is filed under the name uncultured bacterium. RNAcentral describes it as "partial 16S ribosomal RNA". It matches the Rfam family "Bacterial small subunit ribosomal RNA", at positions 524 to 776 of the family's 1533-position model. The record is from RNAcentral.
UACGUAGGGGGCAAGCGUUGUCCGGAAUCAUUGGGCGUAAAGAGCGUGUAGGCGGCCCGAUAAGUCCGCUGUGAAAACUCGAGGCUCAACUUCGAGCUGUCGGUGGAAACUUUCUGGCUAGAGUCCGGAAGAGGAGAAUGGAAUUCCUGGUGUAGCGGUGAAAUGCGUAGAGAUCCGGAAGAACACCGAUGGCGAAGGCGGCCUGCUGGGCAGUUUAGCUGACACUGAGGCGCGACAGCGUGGGGAGCAAACAGG